RNAcentral lists this ribosomal RNA (497 nucleotides) under uncultured bacterium. RNAcentral's name for it is "partial 16S ribosomal RNA". It matches the Rfam family "Bacterial small subunit ribosomal RNA", at positions 28 to 507 of the family's 1533-position model. The record is from RNAcentral.
GAUGAACGCUGGCGGCGUGCCUAAUACAUGCAAGUCGAGCGGACAGACGAGGAGCUUGCUCCUUUGACGUUAGCGGCGGACGGGUGAGUAACACGUGGAUAACCUACCUAUAAGACUGGGAUAACUUCGGGAAACCGGAGCUAAUACCGGAUAACAUGUUGAACCGCAUGGUUCAACAGUGAAAGACGGUCUUGCUGUCACUUAUAGAUGGAUCCGCGCCGCAUUAGCUAGUUGGUAAGGUAACGGCUUACCAAGGCAACGAUGCGUAGCCGACCUGAGAGGGUGAUCGGCCACACUGGAACUGAGACACGGUCCAGACUCCUACGGGAGGCAGCAGUAGGGAAUCUUCCGCAAUGGGCGAAAGCCUGACGGAGCAACGCCGCGUGAGUGAAGGAGGUCUUCGGAUCGUAAAACUCUGUUAUUAGGGAAGAACAAAUGUGUAAGUAACUAUGCACGUCUUGACGGUACCUAAUCAAAAAGCCACGGCUAACUACGUG